GCUACCAUGCAAGUCGAACGGCAGCACAGAAGAGCUUGCUCUUUGGGUGGCGAGUGGCGGACGGGUGAGUAAUGUCUGGGAAACUGCCCGAUGGAGGGGGAUAACUACUGGAAACGGUAGCUAAUACCGCAUAACGUCGCAAGACCAAAGUGGGGGACCUUCGGGCCUCACACCAUCGGAUGUGCCCAGAUGGGAUUAGCUAGUAGGUGGGGUAAUGGCUCACCUAGGCGACGAUCCCUAGCUGGUCUGAGAGGAUGACCAGCCACACUGGAACUGAGACACGGUCCAGACUCCUACGGGAGGCAGCAGUGGGGAAUAUUGCACAAUGGGCGCAAGCCUGAUGCAGCCAUGCCGCGUGUAUGAAGAAGGCCUUCGGGUUGUAAAGUACUUUCAGCGGGGAGGAAGGCGGUGAGGUUAAUAACCUUGCCGAUUGACGUUACCCGCAGAAGAAGCACCGGCUAACUCCGUGCCAGCAGCCGCGGUAAUACGGAGGGUGCAAGCGUUAAUCGGAAUUACUGGGCGUAAAGCGCACGCAGGCGGUCUGUUAAGUCAGAUGUGAAAUCCCCGGGCUUAACCUGGGAACUGCAUUUGAAACUGGCAGGCUUGAGUCUCGUAGAGGGGGGUAGAAUUCCAGGUGUAGCGGUGAAAUGCGUAGAGAUCUGGAGGAAUACCGGUGGCGAAGGCGGCCCCCUGGACGAAGACUGACGCUCAGGUGCGAAAGCGUGGGGAGCAAACAGGAUUAGAUACCCUGGUAGUCCACGCCGUAAACGAUGUCGACUUGGAGGUUGUGCCCUUGAGGCGUGGCUUCCGGAGCUAACGCGUUAAGUCGACCGCCUGGGGAGUACGGCCGCAAGGUUAAAACUCAAAUGAAUUGACGGGGGCCCGCACAAGCGGUGGAGCAUGUGGUUUAAUUCGAUGCAACGCGAAGAACCUUACCUGGCCUUGACAUCCAGAGAACUUAACAAAAAUGCUUUGGUGCCUUCGGGAACUCUGAAACAGGGGCUGCAUGGCUGGCGCCAGCUCC
RNAcentral lists this ribosomal RNA (1024 nucleotides) under Pantoea sp. Its description in RNAcentral is "bacterial SSU rRNA". It matches the Rfam family "Bacterial small subunit ribosomal RNA", at positions 48 to 1062 of the family's 1533-position model. The record is from RNAcentral. Lineage: Bacteria; Pseudomonadati; Pseudomonadota; Gammaproteobacteria; Enterobacterales; Erwiniaceae.